CUACGGGGGGCUGCAGUUAAGUAUCUUUUACAAUGCGCGCAAGCGUGAUAAAGCGAACCAGAGUGCUUUUCCAUUUUGGAAUGGCUUUUGCCAAAUGUAAAAAGUUUGGCGAAUAAGGACUGGGAAAGACCGGUGCCAGCCGCCGCGGUAAUACCGGCAGUUCAAGUCGCAGCCACAUUUAUUGGGUCUAAAACAUCUGUAGCUUGCUUUGCAAGUCUCUUGUGAAAUUCUGUAUCUCAAAUACAGAGCGGGCAGGAGAUACUGCAUUGCUAGGGACCGGGAGGCGUAAGGAGAACAUAUAGGGUAUCGGUAAAAUGAGUUGAUCCUGUAUGGACUAACGACAGCGAAGGCACCUUACGAGCACGGAUCUGACAGUGAGAGAUGAAGGCUAGGGUCGCGAAAGGGAUUAGAUACCCUAGUAGUC
RNAcentral lists this ribosomal RNA (424 nucleotides) under uncultured archaeon. RNAcentral's name for it is "partial 16S ribosomal RNA". It matches the Rfam family "Archaeal small subunit ribosomal RNA", at positions 323 to 746 of the family's 1478-position model. The record is from RNAcentral.